UGCCUGAUCUUACCAGCCUCCCUCACCACCCCAUGUCCAGGGAGCAGAUUGCUCAGGGAUGGACUCUCCUGACACUAAGGGAGACACGAGCCCACUUAAGCAACAAAGGGGAUUUGUACCUUCCCGAAGCCAGAAGUGCCUGUGUGACUGGAUGGGGGCUCAGGGAUGAGCACACCAGGCUCCUCUCCGCAGCACCGGCCGGCCGGCGUCAGCCCCUUGUCCCUGGGCACAGAGGUGAGGCAGCAGCAGGCCCAGCAGGUGUCUCCCUCAUUGUCCCCACUGUCACCCAUCACACAGGUGCGAGGGUGUGGGCAGCGGGAAGGUGGCAGCUCUGCCUAUGGGAGGCCUGCGCCUGCCAGGUCUCGGAGUUCUGAGAACAUCCCUGACGUGUCUACUUUUCGUCAUCAAACUUCCAAAACAUAGAAGGUGCAGGACUGGAUGGCAUCCCUGGCAGGCCCACAAAGGCGCGGUUCAGCCGAGUGUUUUUCAUUAAGUUACUUCUGCUUUUGAUGUGGUAGUUGAAAUUUCCCAAGAUAAAAUGUUUAGAGA
This 549-nucleotide long non-coding RNA is filed under the name Heterocephalus glaber (naked mole-rat). RNAcentral's name for it is "lncRNA (ENSHGLG00000042767.1)". The record is from RNAcentral. Lineage: Eukaryota; Metazoa; Chordata; Mammalia; Rodentia; Bathyergidae.